This 440-nucleotide ribosomal RNA is filed under the name uncultured bacterium. RNAcentral describes it as "partial 16S ribosomal RNA". It matches the Rfam family "Bacterial small subunit ribosomal RNA", at positions 338 to 795 of the family's 1533-position model. The record is from RNAcentral.
CCUACGGGUGGCAGCAGUGGGGGAUAUUGCACAAUGGGGGGAACCCUGAUGCAGCGACGCCGCGUGGGUGAAGGAGCGUUUCGGCGCGUAAAGCCCUAUCGGCAGGGAAGAAGGAGGACGGUACCUGACUAAGAAGCCCCGGCUAACUACGUGCCAGCAGCCGCGGUAAUACGUAGGGGGCAAGCGUUAUCCGGAUUUAUUGGGUUUAAAGGGUGCGCAGGCGGAGGUGCAAGUCAGCGGUCAAAUUGCGGGGCUCAACCCCGUACUGCCGUUGAAACUGCAUCCCUUGAGUGCGCGAGAAGUAUGCGGAAUGCGUGGUGUAGCGGUGAAAUGCAUAGAUAUCACGCAGAACACCGAUUGCGAAGGCAUCUCACGAAUCCGCGAUUGACGCUGAUGCACGAAAGCGUGGGUAUCAAACAGGAUUAGAUACCCUUGUAGUC